RNAcentral lists this ribosomal RNA (474 nucleotides) under uncultured bacterium. RNAcentral describes it as "partial 16S ribosomal RNA". It matches the Rfam family "Bacterial small subunit ribosomal RNA", at positions 28 to 507 of the family's 1533-position model. The record is from RNAcentral.
GAUGAACGCUAGCGGCAGGCCUAACACAUGCAAGUCGAGGGAGGAGCCUUCGUGCUUCGACCUGCGUACGGGUGCGUAACGCGUAUACAAUCUGCCUUUCACAUAGGGAUAGCCCGAAGAAAUUUGGAUUAAUACCUAAUGUUAUAUAGAUGUGGCAUCACCUUUAUAUUAAAGCUGAGGCGGUGAAAGAUGAGUAUGCGUUCUAUUAGCUAGUUGGAGAGGUAACGGCUCCCCAAGGCGACGAUAGAUAGGGGUUCUGAGAGGGAUAUCCCCCACACUGGUACUGUGAUACGGACCAGACACCUACGAGAAUGAGCAGUGAGGAAUAAUGGAAAAUGGUCGGAAGACCAAUCCAGCCACUCCGUGUACAGAAAGACGGACUUAUGGGUUGUAAACUGCGUUUGCAGGGGAAGAAUAAGGACUACGCGUAGUUUGAUGACGGUACUGUGCGAAUAAGCAUCGGAUAACUGCGUG